RNAcentral lists this long non-coding RNA (237 nucleotides) under Lathyrus oleraceus (garden pea). Its description in RNAcentral is "Pisum sativum (pea) long non-coding RNA (PSAT_LNC006588)". The record is from RNAcentral. Lineage: Eukaryota; Viridiplantae; Streptophyta; Magnoliopsida; Fabales; Fabaceae.
AAAAAAAAAGCUAGCACAAACGAACGUCAACGGACGAUUGGGAAAAACUCAUCGUUUAUCGAAACCAACGGAGAGGUGACCAGACAUCAAUGAAUGACUGGGAAAGAAAGGGAUACAACCAUACGUCAACAGACGAAUGGGAAAAACUCAACGUUUACCAAAACCAACGGAGAGGUGACUCUGUGGGGAAAAGAAACUAUACGUCAACGGACGAAUAGGAAAAACUCAGCGUUUAUC